AUCCUUCCCAAGAGGGGUGUCCCAAGGCCUUUCUGAAGCCCUUCACAGCAAGGUAACUCCUUCCAUACUCUGCCUGCACCUCCCAACAUCAAUUAAAAUGGAUAUCUUCCCAUUCAGAAAAGCAACAUUUUUAACUUACCAGAGUAUCUGCUUGGAAUCCCUGAAGAGAUGGAUGGUCAGGUGCUCACUCCCAGAUAAGGUGUACAGUUGUGAAUUUUGUUAUUAGAGCCAGUCCAUCCUGCAGUGAGGCAAUAGUAGACUUCAACCAAGCUCAAUACAGCUACAAUUUCACAAAAAUGUUUGAAAAACCAGAUGUUUAUUUGAAAUCAGCUGGUGAUUAAAUGGUAUAUGUUGUGGUUGGGUUUGUGUCUCCAUCUGAGGCUUUAUUUUGCUACAGAUGAUCUGUGUAAUGAAAGCUCUCAUGAGAAAAACUGAGCACUGACAAGAAGUAUUCCUAGGUAAAAUGAUCAAUCACAAAUAAAUACACUUUCAAACUGGAAUACA
This 504-nucleotide long non-coding RNA is filed under the name Manacus vitellinus (golden-collared manakin). RNAcentral describes it as "lncRNA (ENSMVIG00005001513.1)". The record is from RNAcentral. Lineage: Eukaryota; Metazoa; Chordata; Aves; Passeriformes; Pipridae.